This is a long non-coding RNA of Maniola jurtina (meadow brown), 889 nucleotides long. RefSeq lists it as uncharacterized. The record is from RefSeq and is a predicted model, not a curated record. NCBI's taxonomy places the organism in Eukaryota, Metazoa, Arthropoda, Insecta, Lepidoptera, Nymphalidae. The transcript has 2 exons.
UAAAUCAAAACAGGGUAAGUACAUCCCGUUGACCUACAAAGCAAAAGAAGGUCUCACAAGUCACAGCAUAAUUACCUAAUUACCUGCUUAAAUAAGAUCCUUCCUAGAUUUGAAUCCCUCGGUGCGUGAAUCCGACUCGCACUGGCCGGGUUUUUUAUAUUUUCUUAGUUGAUUUUCAGCAGCUUAUUGCUAGUGGCAAAGGUAUAUUAUAAUAUAUAAGAUAUAUAUUAACUGAUAAAAAUAAAAGGAAUCCUUAUCUGGUCAAAAUUUUAAUAGCUGUAAUUUUAAUCAGCUCUACCUAGUUAGGUACUACAAUUUCAUAAAGCUUAACUAGAAUGGUCCUUCCAUAGAGAAAUAAAAAACGUUAAAAAAAUAGUAUAAGUCUUGAUAAUAACAAAAGUCAAAGGUAUAAGUGUUCAUUUUAGUACUAUGUUACAACUCGUUAAGCUAAUGUGCUAGAGAGGUACAAAUUCGACAUUCGUGUAAUCUUAGGAUGGUAGGAAAAACAAAAUGCGAGGGGCCCCCGGUGGAAGGGGGCACUGAGCUUUUAUAGUAUAUUUUUAAUGUUUAAUUUUUUUGUCAUAAAUUAGCAUAUAUUUAAUUAUUUCUAAUUAGUUAUUACCUAUACUUAAUAAAUUAACUAUUAUUAGGUAUAUAUACAUCAUACAUUUAAACUAACUCUUUCUCAGGGCUAGGCCCGCGUGAAUUUACGUUAGAUGAUAUUCGCAAAACCCUUCCUUAGUGCUUAGGUGUAGGAUACUCAAGGAAUAUAUGUCCUCUUCAAGUCUCUAGGCCCACCGGCUGUCUGUCUGUCGAUUAUUAUGUUAACGUUUUAUAUGUAGGCAGCUGGUAGGUAUAUGUAGGUUUUUUAAUUAGGACAGGUAGUUUU